This is a long non-coding RNA of Astatotilapia calliptera (eastern happy), 3298 nucleotides long. NCBI's taxonomy places the organism in Eukaryota, Metazoa, Chordata, Actinopteri, Cichliformes, Cichlidae. The record is from Ensembl.
GUCGCUCAGUUUUUGCACUUGUGCUUGUGUUGCUUGCGCUCUCAACAUUUCUGCCUGUGCACGCUCAACUCUUUCUGUACACCGUUAUAUUUGUGCCACAAAACCAGCCAAUCACAGACUUGGAUGCAAAAAAAAUCUGAUUGCCUGUUUUUUUUUUUUGUUGUUGUUUUUUUGCAAUGUGUGGCAGGAUGAAUGUUAUCCCGCGGUCCAACCCACUUUCAGCCUGGCCCAUUAGGGGGCGCUAGUAUAAAUAGUGGCCAUUUGAGUGUCUCUGCAUCGCUUGCCUGUGAUCUCCUUUUUGGUCACCUGACUUCCUCGGUGUGGUAGAGAUCGUUUGUGGGUUACUCCUCUGAAGCCCCCAUCGCGGCUGGUCGUAGCUAUAGAAGCCUCCUCUGAGCUAUUCUGCUUACGUUCUGUGACCCGGCUUACUUGGAAGUGUGGACCUUAGUUUUGCGCCAAGCUACGCGAACUGAAGUGCUGCUGUUUUGCCUUGCUGUGCUUUUACCGUCUGUUCCCGUUGUGAGAAUUCUUCCCUGCUGCUGUCAGCUUUUACAGUGGACGUCGGCGUGGACAACGGCCAUAUGCAUGCCGGUUAUCGGAGUCAGCUGGCGUGCAUAUUGAUUGACUGUUAACUUAUCGUCGUGUGGACGGCAAGUUGGAGCAGUACGGCGAUUCCGUUUGCUCCAGAUUUUAGAGUUUUAUUCAGAUUGUAUGUUGUUUUAUUGCUUUUUGAUUUGUAGUUUGGAUUCUCUGUUACACCACUGGUGGGAGGCCCUUUUUCUAGCUGUGGAUCACCAGUGUGGUCCUGCAGUUGGGUUAUCCCCCGGUGCUACACAUUAGUUUGUUGUAAUAUAUUAACAUUUUCUUUGUUUCUUUUAUUCAGAUGCGGAGUGCCGACGUGGAGGAGACUAGGGUGCCUUGGUGGUGGGAUCCCUUGAGUGUACACACCUGCCUUGUUUAGUUUAUUAGUGUGAGUGUGUGUGUGAUAGUGUGCUGCACUUGUGUUUUGGGUGUGUUUUCUUUCUUUAGUUUGUGUGUGGCAUCCCUGCCCCUCCACUGGUAAGCCUCAGCUCUGAAUACCUUUUUAAGCAUAUUUGAAUAUUUAUGAUUGUGCUUUUAUAUGGUGUUUUAAAUAAUUAUUAAUAAAUUGUGAAUUUGUUGAUCAUUGAACCUCGUCUCUGGACUGAGUAUAGCGAACCUAAGUGCCUUUCUGGUGAUUUAGUGUUACUUUCAGUAUUCUCUGGGUGAAAUUCCCAGGGUGGCGUUGUCGUUCUUUAAAACUGAAGAGUAUUUACUUUAUAUCCCAACCUCGUCUCGCCACAAAUGCAUUUAUUGAAUAACAAAAACACGGCACAGUGCAGACGUCACAAACAGACAAGUGCAGAUGACAUAAAGGAGCACAAAAAAGGACAAAUCUGAUUGCCUGUUCUGGUCUGCAAUCAGCUCGAAAUGACGAAAUGCAAUAUCCCAGAAUCCAUUUCGUCCAAAAACUCAAAUGAGGCAGUGGCGGAGGAACACAGAGUGGCGGAGUUUGAAAUAUUACUCUUUCUGGGUCACAAAAUAAACUUUUUUCUUUUUACUUUUGUAAAGUAACCUAAAAUUAUUAUUGCCUCAAAGGGAUUUAGUAUUUUGCAAGAUUGUUAUUUACAUACUUAUUUGUAUAACACUUUUAACAAAAUACUCGUGUUACCUUGUUUUGUCUAAUUCAUACUGGCUGCAAGAUUUACCCACGGUGGUACCACAGGGGCUGUGCCAAGAAGCCCCGCAAGACCAAAAAAAACCCCAUUUGUUUGUGAAGUAUGCUGGUCAGAAAGUUAGGGUCGCUGUCAAUUUUUCAAUGUUUUUGAAAUGUUUCUUGUUUUGUAUCGUUGUCUCCUAUAAUAUUUAUUGGUUGUUUAUUUGUUUAUUAAUUCAUUAAUUUAUGUUCGUGUUGCUGUGUGUGUUUCUGUGUUGUUCACAACAUUAGAGUUCAGCUUUGAUUGCAAUUUGUUUGUAGGAUUAUUCAAUUAUUUUGUGUUUCCUAACAUGUUAGCAUAGUUACUGUAUGCAAAGAAUUAAUAUAUAUGUUGUUCCAUGGUUUACUGGUGUUGAGCUUCCGCUGUACCCCCUGUUUCUGGUCUAUUUGUUAGUUUAUUUUAACUGGUGGUUUCUUCUUUAAUUGGAUGUAAUUGUUAUUUGUUUUUGGUUUUCGUUUCAAUUAAUAAGUGCUGUAUUGGAAUGACAUUUUUAUUACCGUUGUUUUGUCUUUCCUAUUACUUGGUGUUCCUAAUCCUUUUUUUUUUGUAUUAUUUUUGAAUUACAACAUUUUUGAAAUUUGACUUUUUAUGCACAGGUUGAAAAUGACAUAUUAUCGGUAUUAAUGUUCUUUUAAAAGUUAUUCAGCAGUUCUUGGAGAGUGUUUGGGAUAUAAUAUGUCACAUGUAACCCUUCUGGAUGAUAUCCAACAAGUUUGAAGCAGAAAUAUUGUUUCAGUGACAAGUUAUAGUCCACAAUCACUUUUUGGCAGUUUUAUUGUUCCCUUAAUGGUAAUUUAGCAGUUCUGAGGGACUGUUUGAGAUGUAAUAUUUGACAUAUGACUGUUAUGGCCCUGGCCAUAAUCUGUUUUGGUGGUUGUUUUGGUGGUUGUUUUCUUUGUCUGUGCCUUUAAGUCUUUGCAGGUCCCUGAGUGGAUGAGCAGACGGCUGCCGAUUGGUCUGCCGAUCAUGGGUCGCAUUCAAAAUCCCUCACCAGCAGUUGUCCUGGGGCAGCCACUGACAGGAGCAGCAGCAGACCUGACCCUGGCCCUGGCCUCCAAAACCUGAGACAUUUGUGCGACCUUCUGAGUUCUGUAUAUAGUGUGUACAUUAGUUUUCAUUGUAAAUAGCACAUUGUAAAUAGCACUGGAACAGAAGGGGUGAGCUGCCUUAUUGUUUUCCUUGCACUGUUUUCUCCUGUUUAUUUCAGUUAGGGAGUGUAGCGCUUGUCUUUUGUUUGAUGUUUGAUUUCACAUAGGGUUUAGAUAGCACCUCCUCCUGACUUAGCUUGUUUUGUUUGUUAUUUUGGCCUUUGUUCACCCCGGAGCUUCAUUUUUGCAGUGUAGAAAAAUAAACCACCAUUCACUAAGAGAUUGGUUUUCCCUCUGUGUAUGGUUUUGGGGACCAGGGCGGGGCAAUUUUCCAAACCUAUGUUGCAUCCCUGUACCCCUAGACUGGGGCGUAACAAUGACCCUUCUGAAUGACAUGCACCAAGUUUGAAGCAGAAAUAGUAUUUCAGUGACAAGUUAUAGUUCACAGUCACUUUUUGGCAAGUCGAAAAUGGC